Molecule: non-coding RNA, 236 nt
Organism: Pelobates cultripes (western spadefoot toad)
Lineage: Eukaryota; Metazoa; Chordata; Amphibia; Anura; Pelobatidae
Source: the annotation of a GenBank genome assembly
CUGGUCUAAGCCUCCAUGGGCCGGUGGGGAGAUCAAAGUUCUACCUCACUGGUCCACAGCAGCAUGGAGGGAGGCAGCAGAGAACCCGGGCUAGAGUUCACUCUACACUGAACCACCAGGGAAGGCAGCAGGACUGUGAUAUUAACUAAUCUGCCCCCACUCCACCCAAACAUACAGCACACACACACACCCACAGUACCUACACACAGCCCACAAACAGCACCCACACACAUACU